UUUUGGCAUGGAUAUGAUAUUGUCUUAAAAUAAACAAGACAGUGUAUUAGAAUAAAUCUGUUCAAAAUUACCCUGUCAAGACAAGCUGUAGAAAAUGAAAGCAAAAGUAAAACAUAUUGGGGAACAAGGAAUAUACUUCUGGAUCUGCUCAACACCAAUCUAAUAAUUCAUAAGGUCCAGUUGCUAAUAUAUCCAUUCAUCCACCCCCGUCUCUUCCCCUCUAGUCUGAAUUCACACUUCUGGGGGAUGGUCAGAUGGGGUAGACCAAUGGCCCGUGGGCUCCACAACAAAUUUAUGAGAGUGGAAUGUGAAUGGCCCAAGGUGGACUAAGCAAGGGGAGACAUGUCUAAAAAAACCUAUGACUGAAUAAAAACACCAGACCCAAAGGAGAAAAUACAGAAGAAUAAUGAAGUCCUAUGGAAAUAUCCCAACACCCAUGAAUGUUUGACUUCACUUUAACUAUCACAUACAUGGUAUCUGAUGUCAAGUGGCUUCAAUCUCCUUAAAAUACAUGUGUGUGGUGGGUGAACUUAUUACCCAAUAUGCAGCCAUCUGCCCACAUUUCCACAUGUGCAGCCAUCGAUUUAGUCCUAUAAGAUUAGGAGACAUGGGCCAGAGGCCAAGCAAGGGGCCACUGACGCAGCCCUGCUCACCUGUAUCCAUGCCACACACAACACUGAAAACCUAGGAAAAGACCAGCCAUUUUGUACUGUGGAAUUAGCUCCAUUCUGGUCAUCUGCUGCAUAAGAUCAUUUGCUGAAGGAAGGAAAUUGUUUUCUGGUAGCUAGGUUAGGCAGUGUAAUUAAAUCGCAACAAUACAUUGGUUUGAAGCCACAAAGUCCUUUGGAAUGAAUUCCUACCUCUCUUUCGCCACUGUCCCAGCUUAGAUCUCAUAUUUUCCCAUCUGGACAAGCCACUUAAAUGAACUCCAUGGGGUUAGAUCCAUUUUUCUCUAGUGCAUUCAUUUCUGAAUGCACUAGAGAAAAUGAAACUUGGCCGUUCCAUUUCCAAAGUGUUUAGUGAUUCCCCGGAGUCUCCUCAGUGAAUGAAGCCCUUCAUCCUGAGAGUAGCCCACAGGCUCUGCCUGGGCACUGUCCCUCAUCAGCUUGCUUUCUCAGGGCUCCUAUACUCAAAAGAUUUUAAGCUUUUCAAAUUCUGUGUCAUACUUCUUUUCACUUUUAAAGUUUGCUUCACCAUUUAAACAGGAUUUUUGGGAGAUGUAUGGUUGUCCACACCCAGGCCUUAAUGAAUUCUAUCUAGCCUACACUGGGCCAAAGGCUUGCUGCUAUGACACGAUUUGAGAAGCAAAGGAAAACAAGGUUCAGGUAACUUUCCACGAAGAAGGCUAACUGAGAUUCUCCUCCACACCUCAAAGCCCACUCUAGCAGUUAAAGCAUCCUGAGAAAGUCUCAAGGUAAGAACUGACCCUAUAAUGAACAUUUUUGCUAUAAUGUACAUUUCAGUCCUGGCAGCAGUAUGUGAGGGUGGAGAUUCCCAAAGAGUGGAGCCACAGUUUUUCUAGAAAGUACUCCACCCAUGUGCCUGCAAGAAGCUAUGCUGUCUGACCAAUGCAUCUGUGAAACCUCAUUCCUAUUGAUUCUUUAUUAUUAUUAUUAUUAUUUCCACUCAGUAUUUAUUUUUUAUUUUUUUUCCAAGUUUUACAACUAGUUUUAUUUUUUUUUUCUCUUAGCUUGGUCCAAAGUCUUCCUCUGUCUCUUAAUAACUGUGUGGCCUUGGGCAGUUGCUUAGCUUUCCUGAGAUUCUAUUUUCUCAUGGCAAAAUGAAGAUAAUCAUAGUUUGGUCCAUAAUUUGCAGUCUCAUUCACAAAUUCCUCUUCUCUUUAGUCCUUCCUUCAGAAUCCUGCCUCCUGGUCUUCUUGCCUACAGCAUCUCUCUGUAAGCUCUACAGAAAAGGAACCCCUUUCUCCUCUCUCUAAUACGUUAAGCAAUUCUAGAGGACUAGUCCCUUGAUGGUUCUGAGAGUGUUCUCCACCACAAAAAGGGGGGUGGCUUGGACUCCAAAACCAAUGGGAUGGAUUCAAACGCAAAUGAUCUCUGGGGCCCCUCAUGUGCCUAAGUUUUGUGUCAAGCAUAUUUACAUUUUGUAGUUAAACCACAUUUAAUUUAAUUUAAGCCAUCCCAUCAGAUUAGUGUUAUUGUACCCACGCAAGGGGGAAUGAAGGCUUCAAGAGGCGAGUGGCAGUUCAAAUAAGUGAAAUAUGAAAUGUGCUCACUUUGAAGAGAAACUUGGAUUCAAGAUCUUCCUCUGUCUCUUAAUAACUGUGUAGCCUUGGGCAGUUGCUUAACUUUCCUGAGAUUUAUUUUCUCGUGACAAAAUGAAGAUAAUCAUAUCCAUCUCAGAAGAGUGUGACCAUCAGCGCAUGCGUAUGCAGGGCAGGAGCCCAGCCCCUCGCAGCCGCUCUAUCCAUCUCCGGCUGCAGUGCUUGUGUUGGGAUUUAUUUCUCAGUUUCACAAGCCAAUAGAUGAUACAUCAAUGAAAAUUGAAAAUCUAACAAGAGAAAAAUGAGGACAAAGACUUCAUGGAAUAAAUAAGGUGAUGCUUGACAUUUCUUGACGGUUUUCUGGGAAAAUGUCAUGCUGGAGUUAAGGGAGCUGUAAAAGGGCUCCCUGGUUUAUGGAGAGGGAAGCAGCUUAGCAGCCACACCUGUGUUCCAGAGCCCUCAGGAGACGCUGGCCGCUGGCUCUGUAACUAGAGAAGCUUCAAUCUAAAAACUCUGUGUAGGUUCUGAAAGCAAAAGUCUUGGUGUUUCCACCUGUCCUAGCAACAGGGUGUUCACAUGGCACGGUGAUGCCAGGAUACCAGUGCUUCUGUCACCAUGGUGUUCUCAGGUGUCUGCCACAGAGCUCCAUGAUGGAGGUCCAGUGCUGAGUCUCGGAGUCUGCAUGAAGGAGGCUUCUGAGGUUUGUAUUGAAAGAAUUUAUCCUAGGGAACAGCCCUGGAAUGAAAAAGCAUGGCCUCACAUCAGGAGGUGAAUGAAUAAGAUAAAAGACUCAUGAUUCUUCCCUACCCCAUCCCUCUCCUCCAUACCAUUCUCACAAUCUGGUGAAUGGUCUGAGACUAAAACGUGGCAUGAACCAAAGGCCAAUCUCAAUAAAAUCCCUUUUAGUUCUAAAUAGGGAAUGCAUACUCUUUUACUUUACAGUGUGAGAACAGAGAGGCCCAGGAGACUGUUCUAGGGGAAACCAUUCUUGACGCUCCUGUAAUGACUGAGCAGAGUCUGAGAGGAAGGAGGACUGCAGCCCAGCUUGAAGACAUUCUGUAGCAGUGAUACGAAGGUGAGAGUGUCUGAAUUACCAGCGGGCCUUCAGAUUGAAAACCUGACUGUCAUUCAAGACUUGGACUCUGUUAUCUUCUCAACUAGAUUCUCUGUGGCUUAUGCCCUGAUGCCUAGAAACUGACUUGGCUUCAGUGUUCGUCUGUGACUGAUUCCUAGUUGUUGAUGUUUGCCUACAACCCAGGUGGAACAGCAACCACUGGAUUCCCCUGUAUCUUUCCUCCUCUGCGUUUGGAAGCUCAUCCCUUGCAUGCACAUUCAAUUUCAUGUUAUCUAAAAAACACAGGAUGAAAAGAAACUCUUUCAGCAUAUUAUAUUUCUCUUCAAGAUG
This is a non-coding RNA of Ictidomys tridecemlineatus (thirteen-lined ground squirrel), 3626 nucleotides long. NCBI's taxonomy places the organism in Eukaryota, Metazoa, Chordata, Mammalia, Rodentia, Sciuridae. The record is from RefSeq and is a predicted model, not a curated record.